This 468-nucleotide ribosomal RNA is filed under the name uncultured bacterium. RNAcentral's name for it is "partial 16S ribosomal RNA". It matches the Rfam family "Bacterial small subunit ribosomal RNA", at positions 28 to 507 of the family's 1533-position model. The record is from RNAcentral.
GACGAACGCUGGCGGCGUGCUUAACACAUGCAAGUCGAACGGAAAGGCCCUGCUCUUGUGGGGUGCUCGAGUGGCGAACGGGUGAGUAACACGUGAGUAACCUGCCCUUGACUUUGGGAUAACUUCAGGAAACUGGGGCUAAUACCGGAUAGGAGCUCCUGCUGCAUGGUGGGGGUUGGAAAGUUUCGGCGGUUGGGGAUGGACUCGCGGCUUAUCAGCUUGUUGGUGGGGUAGUGGCUUACCAAGGUUUUGACGGGUAGCCGGCCUGAGAGGGUGACCGGCCACAUUGGGACUGAGAUACGGCCCAGACUGCUACGGGAGGCAGCAGUGGGGAAUAUUGCACAAUGGGCGGAAGCCUGAUGCAGCAACGCCGCGUGCGGGAUGACGGCCUUCGGGUUGUAAACCGCUUUCGCCUGUGACGAAGCGUGAGUGACGGUAAUGGGUAAAGAAGCACCGGCUAACUACGUG